Molecule: ribosomal RNA, 440 nt
Filed under: uncultured bacterium
Lineage: Bacteria
Description: partial 16S ribosomal RNA
Rfam family: Bacterial small subunit ribosomal RNA
Source: RNAcentral
CCUACGGGUGGCAGCAGUGGGGAAUAUUGCACAAUGGGCGAAACUCUGAUGCAGCAACGCCGCGUGAGUGAAGAAGGAUUUCGGUAUGUACAGCUCUAUCAGCAGGGAAGAACAUGACGGUACCUGACUUAGAUGCCCCAGCUAACUACGUGCCAGCGGCCGCGGUAAUACGUAGGGGGCAAGCGUUAUCCGGAUGUACUGUGUGUGAAGGGGGCGUAGACGGAAGGGCAAGUCUGAGGUGAAAGCCCGAGGGCCAACUGCGGGACUGCAUGGGAAAAUGCGCGGCUAGAGUGCUGGAGAGGUAAGCGGAAUUCCUAGUGUAGCGGUGAAAUGCGUAGAUAUUAGGAGGAACACCAGUGGCGAAGGCGGAUUACUGGACAGUAACUGACGUUGAGGCUCGAAAGCGUGGGGAGCAAACAGGAUUAGAUACCCCUGUAGUC